RNAcentral lists this long non-coding RNA (205 nucleotides) under Capsicum annuum. Its description in RNAcentral is "long non-coding RNA (CANN_LNC016060)". The record is from RNAcentral. Lineage: Eukaryota; Viridiplantae; Streptophyta; Magnoliopsida; Solanales; Solanaceae.
GUGCCUCUUGUUGUUGCUUGUUUCUUUUUUUGUGAACUCGAUCUUGGUUCAGAAAGCCAGUGGUGGCUGGAAAUACUUUGGCAACUAGAAUGACACUGAACAAGCUGCAAAAACGAAUUGGAAUAACAAAUAUGGAAUGACAUAUGUAGUAGGGGAUGCGGUUUGUAAGGGGGAGUUCUUGAAGGCUACAUGGAGCAACGUUGUG